Molecule: ribosomal RNA, 294 nt
Filed under: uncultured Nitzschia
Lineage: Eukaryota; Bacillariophyta; Bacillariophyceae; Bacillariales; Bacillariaceae
Description: partial Bacterial small subunit ribosomal RNA
Rfam family: Bacterial small subunit ribosomal RNA
Source: RNAcentral
GAUGACGGCCUUCGGGUUGUAAACCUCUUUCAGUAGGGAAGAAGCGAAGUGACGGUACCUGCAGAAGAAGCACCGGCUAACUACGUGCCAGCAGCCGCGGUAAUACGUAGGGUGCGAGCUAUCCGGAAUUAUUGGGCGUAAAGCGCGCGCAGGCGGCCUAUCCAGUCUGUCUUAAAAGUUCGGUGCUCAACCCCGUGAUGGGAUGGAAACUAGUAGGCUAGAGUAUCGGCGAGGAAAGCGGAAUUCCUAGUGUAGCGGUGAAAUGCGUAGAUAUUAGGAAGAACACCAGUGGCG